Molecule: ribosomal RNA, 253 nt
Filed under: uncultured bacterium
Lineage: Bacteria
Description: partial 16S ribosomal RNA
Rfam family: Bacterial small subunit ribosomal RNA
Source: RNAcentral
GACGUAGGGCGCGAGCGUUGUCCGGAUUUAUUGGGCGUAAAGAGCUCGUAGGCGGCUUGUUGCGUCGACUGUGAAAACCCGCGGCUUAACCGCGGGCUUGCAGUUGAUACGGGCAGGCUAGAGUUCGGUAGGGGAGACUGGAAUUCCUGGUGUAGCGGUGAAAUGCGCAGAUAUCGGGAGGAACACCAGUAGCGAAGGCGGCACUCUGGGCCGUGACUGACGCUGAGGAGCGAAAGCGUGGGUAGCAAACAGG